This 663-nucleotide ribosomal RNA is filed under the name Triticum aestivum (bread wheat). RNAcentral describes it as "partial small subunit ribosomal RNA". The record is from RNAcentral. Lineage: Eukaryota; Viridiplantae; Streptophyta; Magnoliopsida; Poales; Poaceae.
AUGGUCGCCGCAAUCUUCGGUCCCAGAAGCUUCAACUUGAACCAGAAUGUUCUGACCAAGCUGAAGGCCGUGUAUACCUUGGUGGAGCAACUCUAUACCGGGUCACAGCGUGCGUUAGCCGUUGUGGCCCUGUCCAACGAGGUUCCGACUCACCUGGCGGAUGUACUCAGGCGGCUUGCCGUUCUUCCUCAGCGCUUCCAAGAGCUAAGACGGGCCUCUGCAAGAGCCGGAGCUAUAGCUGCACUGAGCCGGGCCAAGGCUUUUCUCCCGGAGCUAGACCCGGCCGACAUUGCUCUUGCAUACCCCAGCCUGAAGGAAGACGACACUCCCUUUGACCAGAAAGACUUCGCCGCCUGUGUGAAGAGCGUGCGCCCGGUGGCUACCAUGAUUGGAAACGACACAGAUCUUACCAAGUACCAGCCGGGCUAUGACGCGGAGAAUCAGAGGAUCCCCACUCCAUGUUAUGAAGCCAUCAGCUUGAUCCCUCCGACUCGUAAGCAUACCUUUGCCCCAGAAGUUGACCCGGCCGGGUUAAUUGACGACGAGGCUCAAUUUGAAGCCUUGAACGGCAUUGACUGGAAAUCGUCAACCUUCCAGGUCAUGGAAUCAGCCGGAGGAGCGGAGAGGGAUGAGCCGGAAGCUUCAACUCAACAAGCAUCUUGA